This is a long non-coding RNA of Ostrea edulis (European flat oyster), 4849 nucleotides long. RefSeq lists it as uncharacterized. The record is from RefSeq and is a predicted model, not a curated record. The transcript has 4 exons. Lineage: Eukaryota; Metazoa; Mollusca; Bivalvia; Ostreida; Ostreidae.
ACGGUCGUCUGGGUGUCGACUGCAAUAUUGUUUACAGAUUUAUAUGUCUUUGAAGAUUGGUGACACUGAAUUUGGAGUCAUAGAUAUUUUUGCCACAUUUACUCGAACCAAACUGGAUAAGAAUUCGUUUUGCAACACUUACUCCAUAACCACACCAUUUGAGUAUGAUAAACAAUGAUUAUCGUCAAAGGGAAGUUUUGUCGAUGACAAUAAAGUUCAAUGAGCAGUGGUUUGAUGCAAGCCUCAAAUGAUUUAUGAACACUAUUUUCUCCUCCAGAAGAUGCAGAACGAUGUCUUAUAUAUAUCGCUGUUGCAGUUUAAAAUAAGAAAUUGUACCGAAGAAGCAUUCUCAGGGAGCCUAUAAUCUGAAAGAUUGGACGAAACUCCUUUCCCCAAUCUAGUAUACAAUGGGCUUCAUCCACACACACAAUGACUUCUUCAUCUCUGUGGAUGAUAGAUGAAAGACAACCAAAUCCUCCUUUUGAAACAAUUACUUCUAGGUGACCAAAAUGUACUUUACACUUGAAAUGUGUUCUGUGCUAGCAAAGUCAUCUGAAAGCUUAAUAGCUAGAAAGCCUAACUUUUCAAUAUCCUGAUUGAUGAAACCAUUUAAUAGGAUUUAACUCGUCGAAGUUAAAUCGGUUUAUCUAAGCUAAAUAUCAAUAUUAAUCAUUAAUCUGCAUCACCGGGGUAAUUUCCCACUGCCAGCUAUUCUCUUUUCGGGUAUUAGUGAGGUCAUAAAUUACGUCAUGACCACCGUGCAAGAUUCCCCAGCAGUUCGCACAUGGAAAUUCAGUAGACCACUUGCUGUCCGCUCAAUAUCUUGAGAACCAUUCACUUGAUGAUAAUGAUAUUUCAUAUGUUGGUUGGUUAUGAGUAGAAGAGGACCCCUAUUGUUUUUCAGGUCAAAAGGUCAAGGGUUAAUGUACUCUGGACAUAGGAAUAUAAUGUCCGCUCAAUAUCUUGAGAACCCUUUGCUUGACAGACAUCAAGCUUGGUACAUAUUUAGGAGAAGAUGACCCCUAUUGAUUUUGAGGUCACAUGGUCAAACUGGACAUAGGAAUAUAAUGUCCGCUCAAUAUCUUGAGAACCCUUUGCUUGAUAGACAUCAAACUUGGUACACUGGUAUAUCUUCAGGAGAAAAUGACUCCUAUUGAUUUUGAGGUCACAUGGUCAAGGGUCAAACUAGACAUGGGAAUAUACUGUCUGCUCAGUAUCUUGAGAACCCUUCGCCUGACAGAAACCAAACUUGGUACAAUGAUACGUCUUCAGGAGAAGAUGACCCCUAUUGAUUUUGAGGUCACAUGGUCAAGGAUCACACUGGACAUAGGAAUAUAAUGUCCGUUCAAUAUCUUGAUAAUCCUUUGCUUGACAGACUUCAAACUUGGUACACUGGUACAUCUUCAGGAGAAGAUGACCCCUAUUGAUUUUGAGGUCACAUGGUCACAGGUCAAGGGUUAAACUAGAUAUGGGAAUAUACUGUCUGCUCAGUAUCUUGAGAACCCUUUACUUGAUAGAAAUCAAACUUGGUACACUGAUACGUCUUCAGGAGAAGAUGACCCCUAUUGAUUUUGAGGUCACAUGGUCAAGGGUCACACUGGACAUAGGAAUAUACUGUCCGUUUAAUAUCUUGAGAACCCUUUGCUUGACAGACAUCAAACUUGGUACACUGGUACAUCUUUAGGAGAAAAUGACCCCUAUUGAUUUUGAGGUGGCAUGCUUAAAGGUCAAGGGUAAAACUGGACAUUGGAAUAUACUGUCUGCUCAAUAUUUUGAGAACCUUUUUCUUGACAGACAUCAAACUUGGUACACUGGUAUGUCUUCAGGAGAAGAUGAUCCCUAUUGAUUUUGAGGUCACAUGUUUAAAGGUCAAGGGUCAACCUGGACAUUACAAUAUACUGUCCGCUCAAUAUCUUGAGAACUCUUUGCUUGACAGACAUCAAACUUAGUACACUGGUGUAUAUUCAGGAGAAGAUGACUCCUAUUGAUUUGUGGUCACAUGGUCAAAGGUCAAGGGUAAAACUGGACAUAGCAAUAUACUGUCCACUUAAUAUCUUGAUAACACUUUUGCUUGACAGACAUCAAACUUAGUACACUGUUACAUCUUCAGGAGAAGAUGACCCAUAUUGAUUUUGAGGUCAAAAGUCAAUAGUUGAACUGGACAUAGUAAUAUAUUGUCUCCUAUAUUUUAAGAAUUAUUUGCUUGAUUGACACCAAACUUGGUACACUGGUAGAGCAUAAGGAGUAGAUGACCCCUAUCGGUUUUAGGUCACAUGGUCAAUUCACUCUUGACAGAGGAAGAUAUUGUCUUCUCAAUAUUUUGCAUUGAUGAUACUACUAUCAAUUAAAUGAUGGCUGUGUAUAACAUGGGGGGCAUAUGUGUUUUACAAACAUCUCUUGUUAUUUUAGUGUUCACUGAUUGAUGUCAUGAUCACAUGUUGUUAAGGAAUGCCCAUUUCUGGCCCCCUUUUUGUAUAUAUAUUGAAUUGUUAUUUCAGUGUUUACUGAUUGAUGACGUGAUCACAUUUGUUAAGGGAUGCCCAUUUAAGCAAAAUUGUUGCUGACUCCUUUUUUGUAUAUACAUUGUAUAUCUAUAUAUUGUAUAUUAAAUUGUUAUUUUAGUGUUCACUGAUGACGUGAUCACAUUUUGUUAAGGGAUGCCCAUUUCUGGCCCCCUUUUUGUAUACAUAUUGGAUUGUUAUUUCAUUGUUCACUGAUUGAUGACGUGAUCACAUUUUGUUAAGGGAUCCCCAUUUCUGGCCCCCUUUUAGUAUAUAUAUUGAAUUGUUAAUUCAGUGUUCACUGAUUGACGACGUGAUCACAUUUGUUAAGGGAUGCCCAUUUAAGCAAAAUUGUUGCUGACUCCUUUUUUGUAUAUACAUUGUAUAUCUAUAUAUUGUAUAUUAAAUUGUUAUUUUAGUGUUCACUGAUGACGUGAUCACAUUUUGCUAAGGGAUGCCCAUUUCUGGCCCCCUUUUUGUAUACAUAUUGGAUUGUUAUUUCAUUGUUCACUGAUUGAUGACGUGAUCACAUUUUGUUAAGAGAUGCCCAUUUCUGGCCCCCUUUUUGUAUAUAUAUUGAAAUGUUAUUUCAGUGUUCACUGAUUGAUGACGUGAUCACAUUUUGUUAGGGAUGCCCAUUUAAGCAACAUUGUUGCUGGCUCCCUUUUUAUGCCCCCGAGAUCGAAGAUCGGGCGGGGGGGGGGGUAUUGUUUUUGUCAUUCUGUCUGAAACUUUAACCUUGCUAAUAGCUUUUGAACAGUAAGUGCUAGAGCUUUGAUAUUUCAUAUGAGUAUUCCUUAUGACAAGACCUUUUCGUGGGUAUCAACAUUUUUUACCCUGUCACCUCGACUUUGGAGUUUGACCUUUAACUUUGCCAAUAACUUUUGAACAGUACGAGCUAGAGCUUUGAUAUUUCACACGAGUAUUCCUUGUGCCAAAAUAUUAAAUUGUUUUUUGGUUUUUUCCUCAGUGUUAACUGAUUACAAUGUGAUCAUAUUUUGUUCAAGGAUGCCCAAUUAAGCAAAAUUGUUGUUGGCUCCCUUUGUAGCAUAUUGCGCAUUAAAAACCUAAUUUGUAGUGUUCACUGAAUGAUCACCUUUAUUAGGGAUACCCAUUUAAACAAAUCGUUGCUGGCUCGUUGUAUUUACACGGUGCAUGUAAUCAGCUUAUACUUGCUGUUGUUUUGGUGUUCACUGAUCAUGUUUUGCUUAGGGCCAUCCACGUGAGGCAAUUGGACUGUAGUUCCUUAUUGCUGGUUUACCUGGGGUGCUCACAGAAAGAUGAGCUUUUAGACGAUUCUACAGUUUUACAUUUAUUCUUUGUGUGUGUUUGGAGAUGAUAGUUCCAACCUAUUAUGAGGGUUUAUCUUUUUGUCUAUGACUACCACUGCUUGGGGAGGGUCGGCUCUACUGGUGGCGCAGUCUAUACAGUGGCUGCAUAGUCUAGUGGCGGAGAUUCAGCUUGCCAGUAGAGCUCACCUGGAUUUUUCAUUCAUUUAAUUGAUAUUACAAAUAUAAAUAAACAUUAUCUUAUAUUUUCCCGGGUGUACAUCUGGUCCCAGGGUUCACUUCGGGUUAUGGUUUUUCUCCUUGCACUAGUUAUGAGCAGCCGUGAUCAUUACCGCCAAUAAAUCUAAUAAGCUACAAGUCUGUCUAUUUUGUUUUGUGUGUACCAAUUUGCUUGCCCAUGUGUAUAUCAUAUUUUGUCUUUGAUAAUUGGAUUUAACUCGUCGAAGUUAAAUCGGUUUAUCUAAGCUAAAUAUCAAUAUUAAUCAUUAAUCUGCAUCACCGGGGUAAUUUCCCACUGCCAGCUAUUCUCUUUUCGGGUAUUAGUGAGGUCAUAAAUUACGUCAUGACCACCGUACAAGAUUCCCCAGCAGUUCGCACAUGGAAAUUCACCCACCCAGCCCUCCCCGUAAACUGAAAUGGUACAUUUCUUAAUUUGUUGUCGGUGUUUUGGCUUUGUUUUUUGUAUUUUUCAGGCAAGACCCUAUUAUGGAGAGCCAUUCCUCCGUCACGGCUGCCAUUUCCGAGUGGGCGGAGAUUCAGCUUGCCAGUAGAGCUCACCUGGAUUCUUCAUCAAUUUAAUUGAUAUUACAAAUAUAAAUAAACAUUAUCUUAUAUUUUCCCGGGUGUACAUCUGGUCCCAGGGUUCACUUCGGGUUAUGGUUUUUCUCCUUGCACUAGUUAUGAGCAGCCGUGAUCAUUACCGCCAAUAAAUCUAAUAAGCUACAAGUCUGUCUAUUUUGUUUUGUGUGUACCAAUUUGCUUGCCCAUGUGUAUACCAUAUUUUGUCUUUGAUAAUGGGCUAAUAAUGACACAUUUUUGGAAUAAAUUUUUACCACAAUG